CCCUUAGAUGUUCUGGGCCGCACGCGCGCUACACUGAUGCAUUCAACGAGUCUAAAACCUGCUCUGAUAGGGGUGGGUAAUCUUUUGAAUGUGCAUCGUGAUUGGGAUAGAUGAUUGCAAUUUUUCAUCUUCAACGAGGAAUGCCUAGUAAACGCUAGUCAUCAGCUUGCAUUGAUUACGUCCCUGCCCUUUGUACACACCGCCCGUCGCUCCUACCGAUUGAAUGAUCCGAUGAAUAUCAUGGAUUGAGGAUUAUAGCAGGUUCGCCUGUCUUGAUCUUCGAGAAGUGAAGUAAAUCUUAUCAUUUAGAGGAAGGAGAAGUCGUAACA
Molecule: ribosomal RNA, 329 nt
Filed under: uncultured eukaryote
Lineage: Eukaryota
Description: partial 18S ribosomal RNA
Rfam family: Eukaryotic small subunit ribosomal RNA
Source: RNAcentral